Physeter macrocephalus (sperm whale) is the source of this 3168-nucleotide long non-coding RNA. RefSeq lists it as uncharacterized. The record is from RefSeq and is a predicted model, not a curated record. Lineage: Eukaryota; Metazoa; Chordata; Mammalia; Artiodactyla; Physeteridae. The transcript is spliced from 3 exons.
UUAUUAUAAUUAAUCCCAAAUCUACUUGGAACAACAGCAGAAGAAUGCCAAGUUUGGGUGGUCUCCUUAAGUUUUGUUAUUGGCAGAGACACAGACACACACACACAGAGCCAUCCAGGCAUAAAGCUAAAAUAUUAACAACAGAUUUGAUUAGAUUCGCUAAUGCACAUGGUUACUGUAGUUUGUUUUUCUAAAUGCACAUAAAUACUGUAUUUAUUGGUGUCUGUCUAAGGCUAUCCAUGAAUAUCUGGAAUUCCUGUCUUUAUAUCUGGUUUUAUUCCUAUAUAAAUGAGAGAUGUAGCUUUGACUGCCUCGUUGGAUUGCAAAAUCAAGGUGCUUGAGGACAAACCAAAGUACAAUUUCUUUCAAGAGACAUCGAACGCGGUGCCCAGUACCUCGAGCCCACAGACAGCCUCACGAUAUGCAAUGAAGUCAUGUGAAUGGAGCAGGGACAGUAGGUGGCAGUCGUCACCUCCCCUGGUAUUUUCCUUCUUCCUUUUUUCCAGCACCGUUGAUGACAGGGCAGAGCUCUCAGGAGUGAAGUCAGCAGAGAACUUUGAUAGCAAUUUCCAGGGGGCCCGAGAUAGAGCCACGCAGACGACCCUCGGCAGGCGUCGGGGGCCCUUUCAGCAGUGGCCUCAGUAGAACCUACAGAAAUAAGAUGAUAAAAGGAUGAACAUGUCUCCAAGCUCAGCCACGACAGCACGUGGACUCCUGACUCCAAGUUCAUCCCAAAGGUCCCUGGACAGAUCUGGUGAGAGUGAGGAUAACAAGCAUAUCCCAUGAUGCCACUGGGGAAGAAUUUCGUGUCUGAACUCAACUCAUGAGUUUCUCAUGACCCCCUGAAGAAGCUGAGCUGUGGCCUGGAGGAACCAUGCCCAUCACUGUCCACCAUGUCUUGCUAAUGUGAGGUCCAGCCACUGUGAAGCAGAGAGCAGGACUCAGAUAUUUGACCAGAACCCACAGUCCCAGAGUCUUCCUUUCUCCGUGUCAGCCCCUCGCCCAGGCUCUCCCUUUGCCUUGAACUGGGAGUAUGUAGCCAUGGGAAGAGAGCACAGCACCCCUUUCCCCCUUUCUGCUCAUAUUCCAGAGAUGAGGGUGGGUUACAUAGCCUGAACUUGAUGCUGGUGUUGCAAGAUUGUUGUCAGUUCUGCUGUCCUGUCUCUCGUUUCCUCCCAGGAAAUUGGAAGGGGGAGGAAAACAUCUCAGUUUCAGCACAGCUGGGUGACUUGUAGGAACUCAGUGCCUGACGUUUGCAGGAUCUAAACUGGUCAGGGAGCAGUGCCAUGGGGGGGUCUAGCUCUGUAUCCCCUUUGGAGAGGAAUUCUGUUUCAGACCAUCUCUGUCAGAAGUGGGAUCCACACCCCACAGAGUUUCCCAAGGUUUAGAUUAGUCCAAAUCUAAUUCACUUCACCUCUGCUGCAGUCACUUUCUGUGGGUGAGCCAAGGAAAAAGCCAUCAGCUGAUGUCAGCCACUCCCAGCAGACACCAAGUCUUGCACGGGACAGAAAAAAAUCUGCGCAGUAAUUCAUCUGCCAACUGCAAGACAACCUCCACUUAGCAGCCAAUGUCUUCAACCCAAGCUGUGCAGCACCAGUGACUCAUGGGGCAAGAGUGAAAAUCAGGGCCACAGUCAUGGGGUGAAAAUAUCACAAGCCAGGUGCACCCUGGUGUUCAAGAGCUCACACAUCCCUCAUCCUUCCAUAGCAGUAAAUUACCCUGAAACAGGAGGAAGGUGUGUUAUUAAUUAUUUCUUUUCUACUGACUUUUUUGUAGAUGCACUCUGAUUUCUCAGACUUAGAGCCCACAAAAUAAACACUCGCCGAGCGCUUGAUCUGUGCCUAAGUCAGAAACUCAGGUUGAUCCUAUGUGCCUUACUGGCCAUACCCAGUAGGUAACUACAUCCCAAAGGUACUUUCUUUCUAAAUAUCCCGUUAAUUUUCUCUGUUGCCAUUGCCUGAUUCUGGUCCUCUUGCCCAGACGCAGAGGUGGACUGGCCACGAAGCUCAAAGAGUUUAAGUUGUAAGAUUUCUCACCUGGUGUGUGUGCUUGUGCGCGCGCACAUUUCACCUACAAAGGUAAGAUAUUUUCAUGGCAAAUCCUUAAGACCACCGUGUCUUCUCUGCUCUGUGUCAGGUGGCAUUGGAGUGACCCUGGGCAUUCUCGGGCAUCAGUUAGAAGGGUCUGGACGGGGAGCAUCUGGUUCUGGCUUAGUGGGAUGGAUGGUGCCAUCUCGGGGUCUUUCCGUGUGUGGUAAGCCAUUGCCAAAUGUCCUAGAUCAGGAGUGGUCUCCAAGGAGAGACCUGCAUCCUGCUGUAUUGACACUUACACACUCACUUUAAUACCUAAUUUUGUACACAUGGUAUUAAUUCUUUAUUUCUUUUUGAGAGGGUCCUUUAAACUACAAAAAUUUUAGGUUCCCCAAGCCAGGGCCUGCAUGACCAGGACCCCUGCCAGCCUGGAGGCUCCCCCUCCCUCUACAGUCAGGGUCAUCCUUCUAAGGUGCAGAUCUGGUGCCGCCGUCUUUCACAGCCUCUUAAAACCCUUCAUUGGUUCCCCAUCGAGACUCCCUCCCCCAGCACACAAAUCCCUUCAGGACAUUGUUUCUGCCUUUAUUCUGUGUUGCUUCCUCUUCCUCAGCUAUUCUCCCCACCCAGGUGGCCCCCCAGAGUGAGCAGCCUCCUCAUCAUAGCACCCAGUAACACAGGAAUGCUGGGCUCUGGGGGGUCUUCACCAGACCAGACCCCCUGAGUCCACAAAGUACCUCAGGCCUUUCUUAGGACCCAGCUCAGCACCUGUUUCUUUCUCCACUCCUGUGCCUCUGUGUCCACUGUUCCCGGGCGGCUGAGAGCUGGGCUGGCUGAGAUUUUCAGGCAGAAGAACUAACUAGCUGGUGAGGGAGUCUGAAUAGUGUUUAAGGAAGGAGACCACAGGUAAACUGUGUUUCUAUUUGGGCUUAUUCACGGGGUGACCACCGUAUCUCCCUUUCCAGGCCUGUCCCCAUUCACGCUUGUGCGCCAGUGGGAUUAUUAACAGCAGCUUCAGCCGCUUUCAGAAGUGUCCCCAACCCGCAUGAUAAAUAUACGGGCACCAUACUUACACACCACAAUUACACACACACACAAACUCACCAUGGAGAUAAAGAUACCUCUAUUGUGUUGUCAUUAA